UCGACGAUGAACCUCCUUCGGGAGGGGAUUAGUGGCGAACGGGUGAGUAACACGUGGGCAAUCUGCCCUUCACUCUGGGACAAGCCCUGGAAACGGGGUCUAAUACCGGAUAUGACACGGGGUCGCAUGAUCUCCGUGUGGAAAGCUCCGGCGGUGAAGGAUGAGCCCGCGGCCUAUCAGCUUGUUGGUGAGGUAGUGGCUCACCAAGGCGACGACGGGUAGCCGGCCUGAGAGGGCGACCGGCCACACUGGGACUGAGACACGGCCCAGACUCCUACGGGAGGCAGCAGUGGGGAAUAUUGCACAAUGGGCGAAAGCCUGAUGCAGCGACGCCGCGUGAGGGAUGACGGCCUUCGGGUUGUAAACCUCUUUCAGCAGGGAAGAAGCGAGAGUGACGGUACCUGCAGAAGAAGCGCCGGCUAACUACGUGCCAGCAGCCGCGGUAAUACGUAGGGCGCGAGCGUUGUCCGGAAUUAUUGGGCGUAAAGAGCUCGUAUGCGGCUUGUCACGUCGCAUGUGAAAACACGGGGCUUUAACCUCUGGUUCUGCAAUU
RNAcentral lists this ribosomal RNA (553 nucleotides) under Streptomyces sp. Its description in RNAcentral is "bacterial SSU rRNA". It matches the Rfam family "Bacterial small subunit ribosomal RNA", at positions 62 to 628 of the family's 1533-position model. The record is from RNAcentral. Lineage: Bacteria; Bacillati; Actinomycetota; Actinomycetes; Kitasatosporales; Streptomycetaceae.